This 395-nucleotide ribosomal RNA is filed under the name uncultured bacterium. RNAcentral's name for it is "bacterial SSU rRNA". It matches the Rfam family "Bacterial small subunit ribosomal RNA", at positions 505 to 898 of the family's 1533-position model. The record is from RNAcentral.
GUGCCAGCAGCCGCGGUAAUACGGAGGGUGCAAGCGUUGCUCGGAAUUACUGGGCGUAAAGCAUACGCAGGCGGGCCGUUAAGUCGAGUGUGAAAGCCCGGGGCUCAACCCCGGAACUGCAUUCGAUACUGGCGGUCUUGAGUACGGGAGAGGGAAGUGGAAUUCCUGGUGUAGAGGUGAAAUUCGUAGAUAUCAGGAGGAACACCUGUGGCGAAAGCGGCUUCCUGGCCCGAUACUGACGCUCAUGUAUGAAAGCGUGGGGAGCAAACAGGAUUAGAUACCCUGGUAGUCCACGCCGUAAACGAUGAGUGCUAGCUGCUGGAAAUGCUUACCAUUUCAGUGGCGAAGCCAACGCAUUAAGCACUCCGCCUGGGAAGUACGGCCGCAAGGCUAAA